Molecule: ribosomal RNA, 573 nt
Filed under: uncultured bacterium
Lineage: Bacteria
Description: partial 16S ribosomal RNA
Rfam family: Bacterial small subunit ribosomal RNA
Source: RNAcentral
UGGGGAAUUUUGGACAAUGGGCGAAAGCCUGAUCCAGCAAUGCCGCGUGUGUGAAGAAGGCCUUCGGGUUGUAAAGCACUUUUGUCCGGAAAGAAAUCCUUGGCUCUAAUACAGUCGGGGGAUGACGGUACCGGAAGAAUAAGCACCGGCUAACUACGUGCCAGCAGCCGCGGUAAUACGUAGGGUGCAAGCGUUAAUCGGAAUUACUGGGCGUAAAGCGUGCGCAGGCGGUUUGCUAAGACCGAUGUGAAAUCCCCGGGCUCAACCUGGGAACUGCAUUGGUGACUGGCAGGCUAGAGUAUGGCAGAGGGGGGUAGAAUUCCACGUGUAGCAGUGAAANUGCGUAGAGAUGUGGAGGAAUACCGAUGGCGAAGGCAGCCCCCUGGGCCAAUACUGACGCUCAUGCACGAAAGCGUGGGGAGCAAACAGGAUUCAGAUACCCUGGUAGUCCACGCCCUAAACGAUGUCAACUAGUUGUUGGGGAUUCAUUUCCUUAGUAACGUAGCUAACGCGUGAAGUUGACCGCCUGGGGAGUACGGUCGCAAGAUUAAAACUUAAAUGAAUUGACGGGGU